ACACCCGCUAUUGGUGCAGCGCUGAAAUAUUUCCUCCAUGGGAAAAUAGCAACAUGGUUGAGAAAAAACGCGAGAGCACGGGCAGGUCGCAGGAUGGUGGACAAAGGCGGGUCCUGGACCAGGCCACCCGACAACGGCGCCUCAACCGGCAGCUUGACGCCUUGGAGAAGGACAACUUCCAGGACGAUCCACAUGCAAAUCUCCCACAGCUGAAGCGCCUGCCGCAGUUUGAUGACCCUCACACUGAGUCUGCAAAGAAAAAGAAAAAAACGCGUGGGGAUCACUUCAAGCAGCGUUUCCGCAAGAAUUUCCAGUCCUUAUUGGAGGAACAGAACCUGAGCUCAACCGAUGGGCCGAACUACCUGACCGCCUGCGUUGGUCCCUCCAAGCUCCCCCAGCGCCAUUUCUGUGCAGUGUGUGGCUUUCCAUCCAACUACACCUGUGCGUCGUGUGGAGCUCGGUACUGCUGUGUCAAGUGCCUGGGGACACAUCAAGAAACUAGGUGCCUGAAGUGGACGGUCUGAAGUUGGGAGGCUGUGCUCGAGUUAUCAGCUGCCCUCUUGAUGCUGGUUUAAAUGCAGCUUUUGUCCCAGGGGCCUGAACUGCCAAGUGGAGUAUGUUGGACUUUAAAAUGAUUCAUAGUGAAAACCCUGAUUUUCCACUAUUUCAAUGAACUUGUCUGGAUUUAACCUGUGUAAAAACCCCGCUGGUCCUUUCCUGAUGAUGCCUGGAUGUAGCUCAACAAUGCGAUUCGCUCUAUACUAUCAAUGGAGUCAUUCAAUAAGUGCAGGGUCUGCCAAGGAUGCCCAUGUCCAGUGAAUAAAUAAAAAUAUAUUUUAAAGACUUAUCAUUUGAAUUUCUACCUCCAAUUCUUCUGUAGCCUCUCCCACUUCCCAUCCAUAAAGCCCACGCACAGAUUAUGAAUAUGAUAAAAAAAAACUUGUAAAUUAUAUCAAUGCAAAUGUCUUUGCAAUUAUAUCAGGAAAAAACUGAGUGAUCAAGGCCAAUGUGGGCCAUUGGAAACUGAUACUGGUGAAAUUAUUAGUGUAGUAAGGGAAUGAGAGCUAUGCUGAGUGAUUGCUUGGUGUCAAUAUUUUUAUCAGAAGUGGAGGACAGGGAGCCAGAACUCACAAUGGAAAUGAUGUUGAAUCAUGGAUGGGGACUCCAAGUAAAAAAAAAGCAAAACAAAGAAAUUAUAGCCACUGAUGAGUGACAGAUUCUCAUGUUCAGAUGACCUCCAUCUCAGGGUUUUAAAGGAAGUAGAACGUUGUUGGUGUCCUAAAUUUAUAAUCUUCCAACACAAGAAGUCAACACAAGAAAAUAGGAGCAGAAGUAGGCUGUCAGACACUUCAGGCCUGCGCCUUCAUUUAAUAUGAUCAUGACUGAUCUAUGCUGUCCUCAACACCUGUCCUGUGCCAUUUCUCCAUGCCCCUCUAUUCCACGACCUAUCAAAUAUUUAUCCAUCUCUCCUUUAAAUACUAUUAAUGGUCCAACUUCCACCACCCACCUGGGUAGAGAAUUCCAGAGAUUCACCACCUUCUGCAAGAAGAAAUUUCUGUGCACCUCAGUUUUAAAUGACCAGCCCCUUAUCUCAUAGUUAUGUCCCUUUGAGAUUCUCCCACUGGUGAACUCCAGUGUUCUUGAUUUGGGAAAUCUUCCCAUUUGUUGGAAAAUUGUGCAGAUUACUAUACUGGUUUAGAAAGCUUAAUGAAGGAAACCGGGAGAUUAUAGACUAGCGAACCUAAGAUCUGCUGAUGGAAAUUACUUGGCUAUAUAAAUAAAUAAGAACUGAGCCACAGAAUUUUGGAAAAAAUGUUGGCUAAUUUUUUUGGAAGGGCUGAUUGACCACAGUAGUGGACAGGAGGUUGUCUAUACAGUUCAAGGCAUUGACUGAAGUCUGUCAGGGCAUUACUGGUUAAAGUUGAAUCUUGUAAGGAUGUGCUGGGUGCAGGUGUAGGUUUGAUUGCCUCUUAAACCUGCUGCUCCAUUUCUGAUCUUUGCCCAGCUCUCCUUUCCUGUCACUUCCCCAUGACCCUCUAUCCCCUCUGUCAGUGCAGUGUUCCCUUAUCACUGGACAAGAUGUUGGUCUAGCUUUUGUGCUCGCUUCUCUAGAGUGGAGCUUCUGGCUGAGAGCCAAGAGUGUGACCCACUGAACUGACUGUUACCUAAGGUUGCUUGAUUAAUAGCUAGAAGCUAUUUUUAGCUAGUUUUUCUCUGUAGAAAUCAAAAUAACAAAUCUGUUGAAGAAAAUCACCAGGUUAUCAAUAUAGAUACUUUUAUUGAAAAGUGCACAGAUUAUUGCAUCAUGACAAUACAUUCACUUACCAUGCAUAAUAUACAAUGCCCUUUGACUCUGAAUACCUUACUGAAGAAGAGGCAGUGUUUGGUGUCAGUGCAAGACUCUAAAUACUCUUAUUACAAUGUAAAAGAAUUGAAUAUAGCAGUGGAGAGUAUCAAAUCUUUUUCCAAAGUGCAUCCUCUACUGCACGGGUCAAAGGCAGCAGGUGUAUGGGAACAGUACCACAUCCAAGAUCCCCUAAGUCACACACCAUCCCUACUUGGAAAUAGAUUGUUGACCCUUCACCAUCAAUAGGUCAAACACCUGGCAUUCCCUCCCUGACACCACUGUUGGAGUCCCAUUAUUAUUUCUCCUGUGUGGACUGCAGUGAUCAUAAGGUGAUUCACUAUCACAAGUAAUUAGCACUAGGCAAUAAAUGACUCCAGCCAUGCCUGUUUUUCCAAUAAUUUAUAAAAAGAAAGAUUAAACAGUAGUUCUACAGGAAGCAUACAUUGAUGUGUCAAAAAUUUAAAAUGCCAUUUUUCAUUGGCUACAGAUUAAGUUUUAGUUGCUGUAAGAUCCCCUCUGGUUAUGUUUAGAGUGUGCUAAUGUGGUAAUAUACUCAAAGUUGUGAUGUUGCUGUGGACUGUCCCCUUCAAGGCCUCAGUGCCUAAAAAUAACUAAUGAGUAAUUGCAUUGCUUAAGGGGAAUGUCUAUGGAAUGGCACCUUUAGGAAAUCCUGAGCACUUCUGUUUGAGAAGAGACCUGGUUAUUAAAGAUCUAGCAGAUGAGUAGAUUUCUUCUGUUUAAGGUUAGAAUUACCUGUUUUUCCUUCACUUGGUUCACAUGCCUCUCAAAGUUCAUUUGUUGUCUUACGAAUGUUUUCCCAACCUGACACUUUCAGAUAUGUAGCUGUGUGGCUAUUUAUCUCUAAGCUGUAUCAGGAAUGAAAGGCUUGCCUGUCAUAACUUUGGUGUCAUAAUUUGCCCUUCAGUAUUUUGUUCCGGUGUACUCGUUUUCCCAAUGUGGUAAACUAGGCAUACAAUUCAUGCACCCACACCCCCAGAAACAGCAGUGUUUGAUACUGAUGGUUUGAGAGGUACAAUCUGGGUGGAACACAUCAGUUUCAGUAGUGGUGUGGAGUGUUUUUUGUAUCCUCCUGUGAGGCAGAUGAGGCCUUAGUUCAAAGUCUUAUCCUAAAGAUGACAAUGUAGCACUCCCUUUGUCCUGCACCUUUAAUGAAGACAUUGGAAUCAAGACCCUGGAUUGGAGUUUGAACCCAUGACCUGCCCACAAAGCAGUGAAAAUGAGACCACAGCCUCCCAGGGAAUUUCACAGGGAGACUGUAAAGGAUCAAGAUCCAGUCACAUACUGUCUCUUUCUGGAAACUGUUUCAAUCCUAAGCCUCUGUGUUGCCAUUAACAUUGGGAAUGGGCCUUUCAUAGUUGUCAAAGUGGAUUUGCAAUGGUUAAAUCCCUCAAAACCUACCAGACACUGCCUCUUUGGAAAAGCACACAAAUAACACAAAUAAAUAAUUUUACAAUAUAUCUUGGAGAAAAGUAUAUUUCACAGAGAAAUUCAAAGUGGGAUCAGUUUCAUUCCCAAUCUAUGGGCGGCAAGCACAGUAAUGUAGACAUAGUGUACUUGCACGUGGGUUGUCUUGUUCAAGUGAGUGGGGAUGAUAAUAAGUGUUUGCAAAGAUUCUGAUAAACAAUGUAAUGGCU
This is an RNA transcript of Pristis pectinata (smalltooth sawfish), 4002 nucleotides long. It is a transcript of the gene named zinc finger, HIT-type containing 1, with no coding region annotated. The record is from RefSeq and is a predicted model, not a curated record. Lineage: Eukaryota; Metazoa; Chordata; Chondrichthyes; Rhinopristiformes; Pristidae. The transcript is spliced from 6 exons.